CUGGGAGAGAAGUCCGUUUACCAUAAGGAAUCAAGAAGCAUUUGUGAUUGGGACACAGGUGAAAUAUCAGUGCAAGCCUGGCUAUCGACCAGCUCCGCAUGAGCCUCAGGCUGCCAUCUGUCAGGAAAAUUUGACAUGGGCAGUUUCCAAAGGGUGUGAAAGGAUUCUACAGUGGUUCAACUCCAAUGACAACCAUGAUUGAUAAGAAAAUAACAGUUCCCUGGCCAUAUUACAAAUUCCAAGGUGCUUGAUAUAUGUGAGAAGAUUAUUAAAUUAAAUCUACUACUCUAAUUAUAAUACUGGUAUAACUGAUCUUCUGGGUGUUCAACAACUGAGGUUUAAGAGACCAGAGCUGAAAAGGUACAUUGGUCAAGAGGACAGUCAAUAUUUUGGCCCUGGCCCUCCAAAGUCAACAAGCACCCUAAACAUAAGAGGAUUUCUUCUACAUGAUCCUAUAACCUUGAACAUUUACUUGGAAAUGACCGUUGCUGUGCUUUCUGAGUACCCACGGGUUGAAGCCUUGAGAAGAG
This 530-nucleotide long non-coding RNA is filed under the name Heterocephalus glaber (naked mole-rat). Its description in RNAcentral is "lncRNA (ENSHGLG00000041657.1)". Lineage: Eukaryota; Metazoa; Chordata; Mammalia; Rodentia; Bathyergidae. The record is from RNAcentral.